UAGGGAAUCUUCGGCAAUGGACGAAAGUCUGACCGAGCAACGCCGCGUGAGUGAAGAAGGUUUUCGGAUCGUAAAACUCUGUUGUUAGAGAAGAACAAGGACGUUAGUAACUGAACGUCCCCUGACGGUAUCUAACCAGAAAGCCACGGCUAACUACGUGCCAGCAGCCGCGGUAAUACGUAGGUGGCAAGCGUUGUCCGGAUUUAUUGGGCGUAAAGCGAGCGCAGGCGGUUUCUUAAGUCUGAUGUGAAAGCCCCCGGCUCAACCGGGGAGGGUCAUUGGAAACUGGGAGACUUGAGUGCAGAAGAGGAGAGUGGAAUUCCAUGUGUAGCGGUGAAAUGCGUAGAUAUAGGGAGGAACACCAGUGGCGAAGGCGGCUCUCUGGUCUGUAACUGACGCGGAGGCGCGAAAGCGUGGGGAGCAAACAGG
RNAcentral lists this ribosomal RNA (429 nucleotides) under Gemmatimonadota bacterium. RNAcentral describes it as "Gemmatimonadetes bacterium partial 16S ribosomal RNA". It matches the Rfam family "Bacterial small subunit ribosomal RNA", at positions 355 to 776 of the family's 1533-position model. The record is from RNAcentral. Lineage: Bacteria; Pseudomonadati; Gemmatimonadota.